AGUGAACGCUGGCGGUAGACCUAACACAUGCAAGUCGAACGGCAGCACAGUAAGAGCUUGCUCUUACGGGUGGCGAGUGGCGGACGGGUGAGGAAUACAUCGGAAUCUACUUUUUCGUGGGGGAUAACGUAGGGAAACUUACGCUAAUACCGCAUACGACCUACGGGUGAAAGCAGGGGAUCUUCGGACCUUGCGCGAUUGAAUGAGCCGAUGUCGGAUUAGCUAGUUGGCGGGGUAAAGGCCCACCAAGGCGACGAUCCGUAGCUGGUCUGAGAGGAUGAUCAGCCACACUGGAACUGAGACACGGUCCAGACUCCUACGGGAGGCAGCAGUGGGGAAUAUUGGACAAAGGGCGCAAGCCUGAUCCAGCCAUACCGCGUGGGCGAAGAAGGCCUUCGGGUUGUAAAGCCCUUUUGUUGGGAAAGAAAAGCAGCAGGUUAAUACCCCGCUGUUCUGACGGUACCCAAAGAAUAAGCACCGGCUAACUUCGUG
RNAcentral lists this ribosomal RNA (492 nucleotides) under uncultured bacterium. Its description in RNAcentral is "partial 16S ribosomal RNA". It matches the Rfam family "Bacterial small subunit ribosomal RNA", at positions 29 to 507 of the family's 1533-position model. The record is from RNAcentral.